Molecule: ribosomal RNA, 243 nt
Filed under: uncultured bacterium
Lineage: Bacteria
Description: partial 16S ribosomal RNA
Rfam family: Bacterial small subunit ribosomal RNA
Source: RNAcentral
GCAAACGUUGUUCGGAAUUACUGGGCGUAAAGCGCGUGUAGGCGGCUCGGCAAGUCGGAUGUGAAAGCCCUGGGCUUAACCUAGGACGUGCAUUCGAAACUGCUGAGCUUGAGUACUUAAGAGGAUCGCGGAAUUCCCGGUGUAGAGGUGAAAUUCGUAGAUAUCGGGAGGAACACCAGUGGCGAAGGCGGCGAUCUGGGAAGAUACUGACGCUGAGGUGCGAAAGCGUGGGGAGCAAACAGG